GACGAACGCUGGCGGCGUGCUUAACACAUGCAAGUCGAACGGAAAGGCCCUGCUUUUGUGGGGUGCUCGAGUGGCGAACGGGUGAGUAACACGUGAGUAACCUGCCCUUGACUUUGGGAUAACUUCAGGAAACUGGGGCUAAUACCGGAUAGGAGCUCCUGCUGCAUGGUGGGGGUUGGAAAGUUUCGGCGGUUGGGGAUGGACUCGCGGCUUAUCAGCUUGUUGGUGGGGUAGUGGCUUACCAAGGCUUUGACGGGUAGCCGGCCUGAGAGGGUGACCGGCCACAUUGGUACUGAGAUACGGCCCAGACUCCAACGGGAGGCAGCAGUGGGGAAUAUUGCACAAUGGGCGGAAGCCGGAUGCAGCAACGCCGCGUGCGUGAUGACGGCCUUCGGGUUGUAAACCGCUGUCGCCUGUGACGAAGCGUGAGUGACGGUAAUGGGUAAAGAAGCACCGGCUAACUACGUG
RNAcentral lists this ribosomal RNA (468 nucleotides) under uncultured bacterium. RNAcentral's name for it is "partial 16S ribosomal RNA". It matches the Rfam family "Bacterial small subunit ribosomal RNA", at positions 28 to 507 of the family's 1533-position model. The record is from RNAcentral.